Non-coding RNA from Paramuricea clavata, 320 nucleotides. The record is from the annotation of a GenBank genome assembly. NCBI's taxonomy places the organism in Eukaryota, Metazoa, Cnidaria, Anthozoa, Malacalcyonacea, Plexauridae.
UCUGCGUUCGGCAAAAUAUACAUCAUGAUAUUCAGCAUCAUGCUAUCCUAUUGUGCAGUUGUUAUAUACAUUCAAAAAAUGAUGAAUCUGGGGCUGAAGCUGGUGCAAAUUGCACUAUUGUUCCCAAGUUGGAUCUUGGUAUUAUUUACUAACUAGUACAAUACAUUGACAUUGUAUAAAAUUACGACAAAUCAAAAUCUUUUCUAAAACCUAAUACAAAUACUUGCCAAAUGAAAUGAUAUUAUGAAACCGAGUUUCUAUCAAAGAAUUUUUAGGAGUAUCGAAAUGAAAUUUCAAUCUUUGUUGAAAUUUGCUCGAAA